This 253-nucleotide ribosomal RNA is filed under the name uncultured bacterium. RNAcentral describes it as "partial 16S ribosomal RNA". It matches the Rfam family "Bacterial small subunit ribosomal RNA", at positions 524 to 776 of the family's 1533-position model. The record is from RNAcentral.
UACGUAGGUGACAAGCGUUGUCCGGAUUUACUGGGCGUAAAGAGCGCGCAGGCGGUCGUUCAAGUCGCGUGUGAAAGCCCCCGGCUCAACUGGGGAGGGUCACGCGAUACUGAUCGACUGGAAGGCAGGAGAGGGUAGUGGAAUUCCCGGUGUAGUGGUGAAAUGCGUAGAUAUCGGGAGGAACACCAGUGGCGAAGGCGACUACCUGGCCUGUUCUUGACGCUGAGGCGCGAAAGCUAGGGGAGCAAACGGG